UGGCCCGUAGCUCAGCCUGGUAGAGCAGCGCCCUCAUAAGGCGUGAGUCGCAGGUUCGAAUCCUGCCGAGCCAA
This 74-nucleotide transfer RNA is filed under the name Kitasatospora sp. GP30. Its description in RNAcentral is "tRNA-Met". It matches the Rfam family "tRNA". Rfam says of the family: Transfer RNA (tRNA) molecules are approximately 80 nucleotides in length. Their secondary structure includes four short double-helical elements and three loops (D, anti-codon, and T loops). Lineage: Bacteria; Bacillati; Actinomycetota; Actinomycetes; Kitasatosporales; Streptomycetaceae. The record is from RNAcentral.